Molecule: long non-coding RNA, 208 nt
Organism: Rhagoletis zephyria (snowberry fruit fly)
Lineage: Eukaryota; Metazoa; Arthropoda; Insecta; Diptera; Tephritidae
Source: RefSeq, a predicted model, not a curated record
GUCUGGUGUAAAGUAAUUAUGCAUGAAAUAGAAGUUUCCAAAGACAAAAAUUACUACUUCUUUUCAUGUUUCUAAUAUUUUCCCACAGGUUAAUGAAAUGUAGUCAUUUAAAAAGAGGUUACUACAGAAAUAGAGAUAAUUAGGGCAUAUUUAAAUUUAUGUCGUUUUCCCCUUUUCAAUGGAAUGACUCUAUACAAAAAAAAAAUUC